RNAcentral lists this unclassified non-coding RNA (240 nucleotides) under soil metagenome. RNAcentral's name for it is "partial contains 5.8S ribosomal RNA, internal transcribed spacer 2, and large subunit ribosomal RNA". The record is from RNAcentral.
AACACUGUUAACCUGCGGUACCUGCGGAGGGAUCAUUACUGAACUGUCGACACGAGCUGUUGCUGGUCUCCAAACGGGACAUGUGCACGCUCUGUCAACACAUCCACUCACACCUGUGCACCCUCUGUAGUUCUGUGGCCUGGGGAGCUCUGCUCCCUGGCAUGGUUCUACGUCUUUACAUACACUCUGUAACAAAGUCUCGUGGAAUGUGCAUCGCGUAUAACGCAAUACAAUACAACU